RNAcentral lists this unclassified non-coding RNA (543 nucleotides) under Hevea brasiliensis (rubber tree). The record is from RNAcentral. Lineage: Eukaryota; Viridiplantae; Streptophyta; Magnoliopsida; Malpighiales; Euphorbiaceae.
AAAUGAAUGAAAAUGGAGCAAGGAUUAAUUAUGAACACAUGGCUUAUAUCAAUGCAGCAAGAUUAUUACUUAUUAUUGGCAGAUUUGGGAUUCUGAAGCAUGAAAAGUAGAUGAAAAUUUGAAGACCAUAGAUCCAAGAAAGUUCUGUGGAGUGGAAGGGGAAAAAAAGAAUCCUUAGACAAGUGAUGUAUUGUCAGGUUUGAAGCAAUUUGUUUUGUUUUGUGAGGUAGAAAUAGAGGACAAAUUACAUGAUUAUAUGCUGGAGAAGCAAUUAUCUUCUUCUUUUUCAGGUUCAGGGGAAUAGGCUUUGACAUGGUUAAUGAGAGCUGAAGCUUUGAUCUUCCAGGCAAGAGUAGUAACUUUCUACUAAUUUUGAUUUUCACAAUUUUUUAGUCUCUUGUUUUUAUGACAAGCUGGUCUAAACGGCAUGCCGUUCCUUGUACCAUCUAACCUUUCCUCUGCUGUGAAGUUAAAAACCCCAUCCAAAACCCCUUUCUUGCAAAGUACGGACAAUGCUUUUCUGCUUCAUUUCAAAAAAUGGCU